GUAACGUCGAGAUUGUUCAAGGAGAACGAAACCAACCCCGACUUGAACCGACACGGUGGCAGCCUGCUAAUAUCUAGUCAGAUGGCUUUGCUGAUUGACCCCAUUGACAAAACUUUCGCUAACCUUGUCAGAAAUGCACGCACGUAGAUCCAAUAACAGAAAAAUUAUUAUCGAAGGAUGGUAACAGCUUGAUUUAGCAGUAAUUAGG
RNAcentral lists this long non-coding RNA (208 nucleotides) under Elaeis guineensis (African oil palm). Its description in RNAcentral is "long non-coding RNA (EGUI_LNC075440)". Lineage: Eukaryota; Viridiplantae; Streptophyta; Magnoliopsida; Arecales; Arecaceae. The record is from RNAcentral.